This 623-nucleotide long non-coding RNA is filed under the name Linum usitatissimum (flax). RNAcentral's name for it is "long non-coding RNA (LUSI_LNC001935)". Lineage: Eukaryota; Viridiplantae; Streptophyta; Magnoliopsida; Malpighiales; Linaceae. The record is from RNAcentral.
UUCUUCUCAGCUUUGGAUCUGUCCCUCAUCAGCUUAUUUGCUAUCUCCUUUAAAUUGAUUUCGCCAUCUCCAUGUUUAACCAGCUUUUCUUUGAAACCCUGACGCAGCUUCUGCUCCUGCAAAUUACAUGACUCAAUCGAAAUCUUUGAAUGGAAACUGAAAACCCACACGGUAAAAGAAUGUGUAAAAACCUUGGGCCAAGGAGAGUCGAGGUGUGCAUUGGAAAGAACAUGGAUGCCAGGCGAAACAUCCUGGACGAUGAAGGCUUCUUUGCAUUUAUCCCGGUUGGAGACAUACACCAUGGUGUUUGACAAGAUGUCAGCAACAAUCAGGUUAAAGCCGUUGUAUUGAUCGGCCUCCUUUGCCAUUCCCUCUGCAAAUUCCCUUGGAGCCUUGGAGCUCUGCACGGCAAGCAUAAGGUAAUCACAUAUAGAUUUGUCUAACUGUUCUAUCCUGAUGAACCCAUUUUGAACAAGGUAUAAAACUUUUUUGUUUGACUUAAUUGUGUUAUGGUGUUGACUGUCUCAACAGAAACAUACAUGAUCUCUCUUUGUAGAGAAACUCUCACAGCCUAACGAGUAAAGAUGAUGUAUUCACCUGGAGGAAAAGAAGAGGGAGCUCCC